GAUCAAGCGCGAGAAGGGCGUUUGGUGGAUGCCUUGGCAGUAAGAGGCGAUGAAGGACGUGAUACUCUGCGAUAAGUCAUGGGGAGCUGAGAAUAGGCUUUGAUCCAUGAAUUUCCGAAUGGGGAAACCCACCUGACAGUUUGUUAUUGUGACCCUGCAGUCUGCUAUGAGAGGCCUGUCCUCAAGUAGCGAAGCGGUAGGACAUCAAUAAUGAGCUUAAUCAGGUACUUAAGACCUGAAUACAUAGGGUUUUAAGAGCAAACCCGGGGAACUGAAACAUCUAAGUACCCGGAGGAAAGGACAUCAAUAUGAUACUCCCCUAGUAGCGGCGAGCGAACGGGGACCAGCCGAGCCUUGAGUGUGAAUAGAAUGUGUUGGGAAGCACAGCCAUAGUGGGUGAUAGCCCCGUAUAUGAAGCAUGAUAGGACGUAUUAAGUAGGGCGGGACACGUGAAAUCCUGUCUGAAGAUCGGAGGACCACCUUCGAAGGCUAAGUACUCCUUACUGACCGAUAGCGAACCAGUACCGUGAGGGAAAGGUGAAAAGCACCCCGACGAGGGGAGUGAAACAGUACCUGAAACCGAACGCCUACAAUCAGUUGGAGGCCCCUUGAGGGCUGACAGCGUACCUUUUGUAUAAUGGGUCAUCGACUUGGUCUCACGAGCAAGCUUAAGCCGUUAGGUGUAGGCGCAGCGAAAGCGAGUCUUAAUAGGGCGCAUGAGUUCGUGGGAUCAGACCCGAAACCGAGUGAUCUAGGCAUGGCCAGGUUGAAGGUGCAGUAACAUGCACUGGAGGACCGAACCCACAUCUGUUGAAAAAGAUCGGGAUGAGCUGUGCCUAGGGGUGAAAGGCCAAUCAAACUCGGAGAUAGCUGGUUCUCUGCGAAAUCUAUUUAGGUAGAGCGUCAUCCGAAUACCCCGGGGGGUAGAGCACUGGAUGGGUAAUGGGGCCCCACAGGCUUACUGAUCCUAACCAAACUCCGAAUACCCGGGAGUACUAGAUGGCAGACACACUGCGGAUGCUAACGUCCGUAGUGGAGAGGGAAACAACCCUGACCUACAGCUAAGGCCCCUAAUUCAUGGCUAAGUGGGAAAGCAGGUGGGAUGUCCAAAACAACCAGGAGGUUGGCUUAGAAGCAGCCAUCCUUUAAAGAUAGCGUAACAGCUCACUGGUCUAAUUAAGACGUCCUGCGGCGAAGAUGUAACGGGGCUCAAGCCAUGAGCCGAAGCUUAGGAUGCACAUAGUGCAUGGUAGCAGAGCGUAGUGUGACAUAGUCUCAUGUCUCCUUAGUGUCUUCGGGCACAUUGGAGACGCGAGGCUUUCGAUGAAGCGGGCGCGUGAGCGAUCCCGUGGAGAGAUCACUAGCGAGAAUGAUGACAUGAGUAGCGACAAAGAGUGUGAGAGACACUCUCGCCGAAAGUCCAAGGGUUCCUGCUUAAAGCUAAUCUGAGCAGGGUAAGCCGGCCCCUAAGGCGAGGCCGAAAGGCGUAGCCGAUGGGAACUAGGUUAAUAUUCCUAGGCCAGGAGGAUGUGACGGAUUGUGAAGGUAGUUCAUCCUUAUCGGAUUGAAUGGGCUGCUGAUCAGUCCCUGGAAAUAGCCCUCCAUGAGACCGUACCCUAAACCGACACAGGUGGACUGGUAGAGAAUACCAAGGCGCUUGAGAGAACGAUGUUGAAGGAACUCGGCAAAAUACCUCCGUAAGUUCGCGAGAAGGAGGCCCGGUUCCAAGGCAACUUGGAGCUGGGGGCACAAACCAGGGGGUGGCGACUGUUUAUUAAAAACACAGGGCUCUGCGAAGUCGCAAGACGACGUAUAGGGUCUGACGCCUGCCCGGUGCCUGAAGGUUAAAAGGAGGGGUGAGAGCUCCGAAUUGAAGCCCAGGUAAACGGCGGCCGUAACUAUAACGGUCCUAAGGUAGCGAAAUUCCUUGUCGGGUAAGUUCCGACCUGCACGAAUGGCGUAACGACUUCCCCGCUGUCUCCAACAUCGACUCAGCGAAAUUGAAUUGCCUGUCAAGAUGCAGGCUUCCCGCGGUUAGACGGAAAGACCCCGUGCACCUUUACUACAGCUUCGCACUGGUAUCAGGAUUGUGACGUGCAGGAUAGGUGGUAGGCAUCGAAGCGUGAACGCUAGUUCACGUGGAGCCUCCCUUGAGAUACCACCCUUCGCACUCUUGAUAUCUAACCGCGGUCCGUUAUCCGGAUCCGGGACCCUGCGUGGCGGGUAGUUUGACUGGGGCGGUCGCCUCCUAAAGCGUAACGGAGGCGCGCGAAGGUUGGCUCAGAGCGGUCGGAAAUCGCUCGUUGAGUGCAAUGGCAGAAGCCAGCCUGACUGCGAGACUGACAAGUCGAGCAGAGACGAAAGUCGGCCAUAGUGAUCCGGUGGUCCCAAGUGGGAGGGCCAUCGCUCAACGGAUAAAAGGUACGCCGGGGAUAACAGGCUGAUACUGCCCAAGAGUCCAUAUCGACGGCAGUGUUUGGCACCUCGAUGUCGGCUCAUCUCAUCCUGGGGCUGGAGCAGGUCCCAAGGGUACGGCUGUUCGCCGUUUAAAGAGGUACGUGAGCUGGGUUUAGAACGUCGUGAGACAGUUCGGUCCCUAUCUGCCGUGGGUGUAGGAUACUUGAGAGGAGUUGCCCCUAGUACGAGAGGACCGGGGUGAACGAUCCACUGGUGGACCAGUUGUUAUGCCAAUAGCAGUGCUGGGUAGCUAUGAUCGGACAGGAUAACCGCUGAAGGCAUCUAAGCGGGAAGCCCCCCUCAAAACAAGGUAUCCCUGAGGGCCGAGGUAGACCACCUCGUCAAUAGGCCGGAGAUGUAAGUGCAGCAAUGCAUUCAGUUGACCGGUACUAAUCGCCCGAUAGGCUUGAUCUG
This 2871-nucleotide ribosomal RNA is filed under the name Phaeobacter inhibens. RNAcentral describes it as "23S ribosomal RNA". It matches the Rfam family "Bacterial large subunit ribosomal RNA". The record is from RNAcentral. Lineage: Bacteria; Pseudomonadati; Pseudomonadota; Alphaproteobacteria; Rhodobacterales; Roseobacteraceae.